CAGAAACAACUCUCCAAGUUCCAUUUCCAAGGAAAGUCUUAACCAUUUGUCCCUUCUGGCGUACCCUCUUUCAUUGAAAUCCAUGCAGAAUAUACCAGAGAUGGGCAGUAGCGAACCCCUUCCCAUCGCAGAUGGUGUCAGGAGGAGGAAGAAGAAGCGGAGGGCCCGGGCCACUGACUCCUUGCCAGGAAAAUUUGAAGAUAUGUACAAGCUGACCUCUGAAUUGCUUGGAGAGGGAGCCUAUGCCAAAGUUCAAGGUGCCGUGAGCCUACAGAAUGGCAAAGAGUAUGCCGUCAAAAUCAUCGAGAAACAAGCAGGGCACAGUCGGAGUAGGGUGUUUCGAGAGGUGGAGACACUGUAUCAGUGUCAGGGAAACAAGUUCCAUCUUAGCCCACAUCCAGAAGCAAAAGCACUUCAAUGAGCGAGAAGCCAGCCGAGUGGUGCGGGACGUUGCUGCUGCCCUUGACUUCCUGCAUACCAAAGGCAUUGCUCAUCGUGAUCUGAAACCAGAAAAUAUAUUGUGUGAAUCUCCAGAAAAGGUGUCUCCAGUGAAAAUCUGUGACUUUGACUUGGGCAGUGGGAUGAAACUGAACAACUCCUGUACCCCCAUAACCACACCAGAGCUGACCACCCCAUGUGGCUCUGCAGAAUACAUGGCCCCUGAGGUAGUGGAGGUCUUCACGGACCAGGCCACAUUCUACGACAAGCGCUGUGACCUGUGGAGCCUGGGCGUGGUCCUCUACAUCAUGCUGAGUGGCUACCCGCCCUUCGUGGGUCACUGCGGGGCUGACUGUGGCUGGGACCGGGGCGAGGUCUGCAGGGUGUGCCAGAACAAGCUGUUUGAAAGCAUCCAGGAAGGCAAGUAUGAGUUUCCUGACAAGGACUGGGCACACAUCUCCAGUGAGGCCAAAGACCUCAUCUCCAAGCUCCUGGUGCGAGAUGCAAAGCAGAGACUUAGCGCCGCCCAAGUUCUGCAGCACCCAUGGGUGCAGGGGCAAGCUCCAGAAAAGGGACUCCCCACGCCGCAAGUCCUCCAGAGGAACAGCAGCACAAUGGACCUGACACUCUUCGCAGCUGAGGCCAUCGCCCUUAACCGCCAGCUAUCUCAGCACGAAGAGAACGAACUAGCAGAGGAGCCAGAGGCACUAGCUGAUGGCCUCUGCUCCAUGAAGCUUUCCCCUCCCUGCAAGUCACGCCUGGCCCGGAGACGGGCCCUGGCCCAGGCAGGCCGUGGUGAAGACAGGAGCCCGCCCACAGCACUCUGAAAUGCUUGUCACACCUUAUAGGCCCUAGGCCUGGCCAGGCAUUGUCCUCUGGAAACCUGUGUGGCUAAAGUCUGCUGAGCAGGCAGCAGCCUCUGCUCUGUGGCUCCAUUCAGGCUUUUUCAUCUACGAAGGCCCUGAAGUUCCCAUCAACCCCCAUUUCCCUAGGGUCCUGGAGGAAAAAGCUUUUUCCAAAGGGGUUGUCUUUGAAAAGGAAAGCAAUCACUUCUCACUUUGCAUAAUUGCCUGCAGCAGGAACAUCUCUUCGCUGGGCUCCACCUGCUCACCCGCCUGCAGAUCUGGGAUCCGGCCUGCUCUCACCGCUGUAGCUGUGGCGGCUGGGAUUGCAGCCUGCAGGGAGAAGCAAGAAGCAUCAGUUGACAGAGGCUGCCGACACGUGCCUCUUCCCUCUCUGCUCUGUCACCCUCCUCUGGCGGUCCUUCCACCUUCCUCUGUCCUCCGGAUGUCCUCUUUGCCCGUCUUCUCCCUUGGCUGAGCGAAGCCAUCCCCUCAAUUCAGGGAAGGGCAAGGAGCCUUCCUCAUUCAGGAAAUCAAAUCAGUCUUCCGGUCUGCAGCACGGAAAAGCACAUAAUCUUUCUUUGCUGUGACCGAAAUGUAUCCCUCGUUUAUCAUCCCCUUUGUUUGUGAUUGCUGCUAAAGUCAGUAGUAUCGUUUUUUUAAAAAAAAAGUUUGGUGUUUUUAACCAUGCUGUUCCAGCAAAGAUGAUACCUUAAACUUCCACUGCAAGCCCAUGAACUUCCCAGAGUGGAACGGCUUGCUCUCCUUUCUGGAAUGUCCAUGCACUUGUGUUUUAAUCAGCAGUUCUCUAUUAUUCUGAUUUUAAGCUGUUCCUGUGAUGAACUUAGAGACAGCAUCGGUGUCUGCUGCUGUGUCCCCAGGUCUUGUGUGGGUGGCACAGAUCUGGGCAGUUAGAUAGAGCUCUGUGCCUAAGGUGAAGCCACACUAGGGUGAAGCCUCACUUCCCUGUUUGAGCAAUGCAGUGCCUGCUGCCCGUGUGCAUGAAGGUACAGCCAUUCAGAUAAGUGGAACUAUUGAGUUACAUAAAGAAAAUAGAUUUGCAUUUGUCAGGCAGACGUUUAUACAACACCACGGUGCUUUUAUACAUUGUGCUUAUUUUAAUAAAACUGAAAUGCUA
This 2418-nucleotide small RNA is filed under the name Pan troglodytes (chimpanzee). Its description in RNAcentral is "processed transcript". The record is from RNAcentral. Lineage: Eukaryota; Metazoa; Chordata; Mammalia; Primates; Hominidae.